GGGGAUGUGACGGAACUGGCAGACGUGCGGGUCUCAAAAACCCGUGGGGUUCCCCCCGUGUGGGUUCGACUCCCACCAUCCCCACCA
This 87-nucleotide transfer RNA is filed under the name Acidobacteriota bacterium. RNAcentral's name for it is "Acidobacteria bacterium (groundwater metagenome) tRNA-Leu". It matches the Rfam family "tRNA". Rfam says of the family: Transfer RNA (tRNA) molecules are approximately 80 nucleotides in length. The record is from RNAcentral. Lineage: Bacteria; Pseudomonadati; Acidobacteriota.